RNAcentral lists this ribosomal RNA (1304 nucleotides) under metagenome. RNAcentral describes it as "bacterial LSU rRNA". It matches the Rfam family "Bacterial large subunit ribosomal RNA", at positions 1633 to 2925 of the family's 2925-position model. The record is from RNAcentral.
CCUACACGACCGUACCGCAAACCGACACUGGUGCGCGAGAUGAGUAUUCUAAGGCGCUUGAGAGAACUCAGGAGAAGGAACUCGGCAAAUUGACACCGUAACUUCGGAAGAAGGUGUGCCUUUAGUAGGUGAAGGGAUUUACUCCCGGAGCCCAAUGAGGUUGCAAAAAAUCGGUGGCUGCGACUGUUUAAUAAAAACACAGCACUCUGCAAACACGAAAGUGGACGUAUAGGGUGUGACGCCUGCCCGGUGCUGGAAGAUUAAAUGAUGGGGUGCAAGCUCUUGAUUGAAGUCCCAGUAAACGGCGGCCGUAACGAUAACGGUCCUAAGGUAGCGAAAUUCCUUGUCGGGUAAGUUCCGACCUGCACGAAUGGCGUAACGAUGGCCACACUGUCUCCUCCUGAGACUCAGCGAAGUUGAAAUGUUUGUGAUGAUGCAAUCUCCCCGCGGAAAGACGGAAAGACCCCAUGAACCUUUACUGUAGCUUUGUAUUGGACUUUGAACAGAUCUGUGUAGGAUAGGUGGGAGGCUUUGAAGCAGGGUCGCUAGAUCUUGUGGAGCCAACGUUGAAAUACCACCCUGGUGUGUUUGAGGUUCUAACCUAGGUCCAUUAUCUGGAUCGGGGACAGUGCAUGGUAGGCAGUUUGACUGGGGCGGUCUCCUCCCAAAGCGUAACGGAGGAGUUCGAAGGUACGCUAGGUACGGUCGGACAUCGUGCUAAUAGUGCAAUGGCAUAAGCGUGCUUAACUGCGAGACUGACAAGUCGAGCAGAUGCGAAAGCAGGACAUAGUGAUCCGGUGGUUCUGUAUGGAAGGGCCAUCGCUCAACGGAUAAAAGGUACUCUGGGGAUAACAGGCUGAUACCGCCCAAGAGUUCAUAUCGACGGCGGUGUUUGGCACCUCGAUGUCGGCUCAUCUCAUCCUGGGGCUGUAGCCGGUCCCAAGGGUAUGGCUGUUCGCCAUUUAAAGAGGUACGUGAGCUGGGUUUAAAACGUCGUGAGACAGUUUGGUCCCUAUCUUCCGUGGGCGCUGCAGAUUUGAGGAAGCCUGCUCCUAGUACGAGAGGACCGGAGUGGACACACCUCUGGUGUAUCGGUUGUCACGCCAGUGGCAUUGCCGAGUAGCUAAGUGUGGAAGAGAUAACCGCUGAAAGCAUCUAAGCGGGAAACUCGUUUCAAGAUGAGAUCUGCCGGGGCCUUGAGCCCCCUAAAGAGUCGUUCAAGACCAGGACGUUGAUAGGUCAGGUGUGGAAGCGCAGUAAUGCGUUAAGCUAACUGAUACUAAUUGCUCAUGAGGCUUGACCAA